Molecule: transfer RNA, 85 nt
Filed under: Cyclobacteriaceae bacterium
Lineage: Bacteria; Pseudomonadati; Bacteroidota; Cytophagia; Cytophagales; Cyclobacteriaceae
Description: tRNA-Ser
Rfam family: tRNA
About the family: Transfer RNA (tRNA) molecules are approximately 80 nucleotides in length. Their secondary structure includes four short double-helical elements and three loops (D, anti-codon, and T loops).
Source: RNAcentral
AGAGGAGUGGCAGAGUGGUCGAUCGCGGCGGUCUUGAAAACCGUUGACCUGCGAGGGUCCGGGGGUUCGAAUCCCUCCUCCUCUG